RNAcentral lists this transfer RNA (84 nucleotides) under Cordylochernes scorpioides. RNAcentral describes it as "tRNA-Thr". The stretch from base 8 to 65 matches the Rfam family "tRNA", at positions 8 to 63 of the family's 71-position model. Rfam says of the family: Transfer RNA (tRNA) molecules are approximately 80 nucleotides in length. Their secondary structure includes four short double-helical elements and three loops (D, anti-codon, and T loops). The record is from RNAcentral. Lineage: Eukaryota; Metazoa; Arthropoda; Arachnida; Pseudoscorpiones; Chernetidae.
GGAAAAAUAGCCUAGUGGACAUGGCAUCUGCCCGGUAAGCGGAACACUGUGGGUUCGAUUCCCAUCCCUGGACACUUUUAUUUU